ACACGGACCAAGGAGUUUAUCGUGUACGCAAGUCAUUGGGUGAAUAAAACCCAAAGGCGAAAUGAAAGUAAGAGUUGAGCAUAAUUAAAAAAUUUUGUUUUUUUUUUAUGUUCCUCUUAAGUGGAGAUAGAAAUUGCGUUAAUUAUAGUUUCAAACCUGUUUUAAACUAUUUGUUAAUGUAAAUUUCUCGCACUCACAGGGCGCUAGUUUAACGCUAGCGUGACAAUGCGCACCUAGAGCGUACACGAUGAUACCCGAAAGAUGGUGAACUAUGCCUGGCCAGGACGAAGCCUGGGGAAACCCUGGUGGAGGUCCGCAGCGAUGCUGACGUGCAAAUCGAUCGUCGGAGCUGGGUAUAGGGGCGAAAGACCAAUCGAACCAUCUAGUAGCUGGUUCCCUCUGAAGUUUCCCUCAGGAUAGCUUGCUCUUAGAUAAAGAGUCUCGUCCCGUAGAGCGAAUGAUUAGAGGCAUUGGGGUCGAAACGACCUCCACCUAUACUCAAACUCCAAUAGAUGAGAUCCCCGGCUUUCUUAAAAUUGAAGCCGUGGGAAUAGGAUCAGAGUGCCAAGUGGGCCAAUUUUGGUAAGCAGAACUGGCGA
This 599-nucleotide ribosomal RNA is filed under the name Apiomerus subpiceus. RNAcentral's name for it is "eukaryotic LSU rRNA". It matches the Rfam family "Eukaryotic large subunit ribosomal RNA", at positions 659 to 1156 of the family's 3401-position model. The record is from RNAcentral. Lineage: Eukaryota; Metazoa; Arthropoda; Insecta; Hemiptera; Reduviidae.